AAUAAGCUAUUUAAGAGCGUAAGGUGGAUGCCUUGGCUCUCAGAGGCGAUGAAGGACGUGAUAAGCUGCGAUAAGCUGCGGGGAUUGGCACACACAAUUUGAUCCGUAGAUUUCCGAAUGGGGCAACCCACUAUAUUGAAGAUAUAGUAUCCGUUAAGGAAGCAAACCCAGGGAACUGAAACAUCUAAGUACCUGGAGGAAUAGAAAACAAAAGUGAUUCCGCUAGUAGUGGCGAGCGAACGCGGAACAGCCCAAACCAAAAUUGUUUCGGCAAUUUUGGGG
RNAcentral lists this ribosomal RNA (282 nucleotides) under uncultured Flavobacteriaceae bacterium. RNAcentral describes it as "partial 23S ribosomal RNA". It matches the Rfam family "Bacterial large subunit ribosomal RNA", at positions 1 to 297 of the family's 2925-position model. The record is from RNAcentral. Lineage: Bacteria; Pseudomonadati; Bacteroidota; Flavobacteriia; Flavobacteriales; Flavobacteriaceae.